This 443-nucleotide ribosomal RNA is filed under the name uncultured bacterium. Its description in RNAcentral is "partial 16S ribosomal RNA". It matches the Rfam family "Bacterial small subunit ribosomal RNA", at positions 338 to 795 of the family's 1533-position model. The record is from RNAcentral.
CCUACGGGCGGCAGCAGUGGGGAAUAUUGGGCAAUGGGCGCAAGCCUGACCCAGCAACGCCGCGUGAAGGAAGAAGGCUUUCGGGUUGUAAACUUCUUUUGUCAGGGACGAAGCAAGUGACGGUACCUGACGAAUAAGCCACGGCUAACUACGUGCCACCAGCCGCGGUAAAACGUAGGUGGCAAGCGUUAUCCGGAUGUACUGGGUGUAAAGGGCGUGUAGGCGGGACUGCAAGUCAGAUGGGAAAACCACGGGCUCAACCUGUGCCCUGCAUUUGAAACUGUAGUUCUUGAGUACAGGAGAGGCAGGCGGAAUUCCUAGUGUAGCGGUGAAAUGCGUAGAUAUUAGGAGGAACACCAGUGGCGAAGGCGGUCUGCUGGGCAGCAACUGACGCUGAGGCGCGAAAGCGUGGGGAGCAAACAGGAUUAGAUACCCUUGUAGUC